RNAcentral lists this ribosomal RNA (253 nucleotides) under uncultured bacterium. RNAcentral's name for it is "partial 16S ribosomal RNA". It matches the Rfam family "Bacterial small subunit ribosomal RNA", at positions 524 to 776 of the family's 1533-position model. The record is from RNAcentral.
UACGUAGGGUGCAAGCGUUGUCCGGAAUUAUUGGGCGUAAAGAGCUCGUAGGCGGUUUGUCGCGUCUGCUGUGAAAACCCGAGGCUCAACCUCGGGCCUGCAGUGGGUACGGGCAGACUAGAGUGCGGUAGGGGAGAUUGGAAUUCCUGGUGUAGCGGUGGAAUGCGCAGAUAUCAGGAGGAACACCAAUGGCGAAGGCGGGUCUCUGGGCCGAUACUGACGCUGAGGAGCGAAAGCGUGGGGAGCGAACAGG